RNAcentral lists this ribosomal RNA (428 nucleotides) under uncultured Chthoniobacter sp. RNAcentral's name for it is "bacterial SSU rRNA". It matches the Rfam family "Bacterial small subunit ribosomal RNA", at positions 355 to 774 of the family's 1533-position model. The record is from RNAcentral. Lineage: Bacteria; Pseudomonadati; Verrucomicrobiota; Spartobacteria; Chthoniobacterales; Chthoniobacteraceae.
UCGAGAAUUUUUCACAAUGGGGGAAACCCUGAUGGAGCGACGCCGCGUGGAGGAUGAAGGUCUUCGGAUUGUAAACUCCUGUCAUUGGUGAACAAGAUCGGCCGGGUAACUCCGUUGCCGGUUUGCUAGUAGCCGAAGAGGAAGGGACGGCUAACUCUGUGCCAGCAGCCGCGGUAAUACAGAGGUCCCGAGCGUUGUUCGGAUUUAUUGGGCGUAAAGGGUGCGUAGGCGGCGGAGUAAGUUGGGUGUGAAAUCCCGGGGCUUAACCUCGGAAUUGCAUUCAAUACUGCUUCGCUAGAGUACUGGAGAGGAGGCUGGAAUUUACGGUGUAGCAGUGAAAUGCGUAGAUAUCGUAAGGAAGGCCGGUGGCGAAAGCGAGCCUCUGGACAGUUACUGACGCUGAUGCACGAAGGCCAGGGGAGCAAACG